GUCGCUACUACCGAUUGAAUGGCUCAGUGAGGCCUUCGGACUGGCUCGAGGAGGUUGGCAACGACCACCUCAAGCCGGAAAGUUCGUCAAACUCGGUCAUUUAGAGGAAGUAAAAGUCGUAACAAGGUCUCC
Molecule: ribosomal RNA, 132 nt
Filed under: uncultured Ascomycota
Lineage: Eukaryota; Fungi; Ascomycota
Description: partial small subunit ribosomal RNA
Rfam family: Eukaryotic small subunit ribosomal RNA
Source: RNAcentral